AUACCCCGUUUCCUCGAGCUAAGUUUAGAAUAAUUUUGAACUUAGAUUUAAGAUGAUUCGCGCCGGAUUGAGAAAAAGAAUUUAUUUAAUUCCAACAAAAUGAUUUACAAAAAACGUUUGUAAAUAUUUUAGCUAUUUAAAUUUUUGUGCAUUGCAUAUUAAUUUAAAUAUGAGCAUGUGUAUAUGUGAAAUAUUUUACACAUAAUUAAUAUUUUUACAAGAUUUAAAUUAAAGUCUAUGAUUGGACUUUAAUUAUUUUAUGUGUUGGGCUUUGAUUUUUAUAUUGGACCCCUUAAGUUAAGUAUUUGAUUAACCAAAUGAAACCCUCCCUAACGCAGGUCCCCUCUCUCCCUCAUUACUCUCUUCUUCACCAUCAAUGAAACUCACAUGCACACAUUAAGGAGCUCUAAAAAGCCUAACCUAGUUUAGCCAACAAGAUCCCUCAAUUCAAGCUCACCAUGCACAUGCACAAAUCUCCAUCUCUCCCCCUCAUGCUCGGCUCUCUCAUCUCUCUCUUCUCUCCUUCUCUCUUCUCACUCUCCUGCACACUCAAGGAUGACAUCCUCACACAAUUAAUUCAAGAUACUCAUUGAGUGAAGCAAUCACUCCAUCACAUCAUCUCAUCAAAGCUCAUCAAAGCAAGCUUCCCUCUCUCCUUUUUGUACUCCCUUCGGCAGCCCCCUCCCCUCCUCACUCCACCACACUUCUCUCCUUGUUUCACCAUUUUUGGAAAGGAUUAAGGAAGCCAAAAGUGCUACCCUCACACCAAGCUAUCAAGUGUACUUCAAUCUUCAAGAUCAAGCUCCAAGAGGCCUACGCAUCAUCCCCUACUUCACCUCCAUUGAUCUUGUUGGCUUUGAACGUCAGAAGGAUUAGCACUGCUAUUCCGAUUCAGAGAUUAAGUUAAACGACAGGCUUUGCCUAUACAGGUUAAUGGCGGGUGAUGACGGGGCGGAGCUGAGGCUAGAGUUCAACUCCUUAUUUUGACUUCCGCUGUAGAACUAGCCCGUAUCUAUCUUUUGUUGAGCCUAAACUAUUGACUCUCAAGUAUUUCGAUUAAUGAAUGUUGGUUAUCUGAA
Salvia miltiorrhiza (redroot sage) is the source of this 1079-nucleotide long non-coding RNA. RefSeq lists it as uncharacterized. The record is from RefSeq and is a predicted model, not a curated record. NCBI's taxonomy places the organism in Eukaryota, Viridiplantae, Streptophyta, Magnoliopsida, Lamiales, Lamiaceae. The transcript has 3 exons.